This 254-nucleotide ribosomal RNA is filed under the name uncultured bacterium. RNAcentral's name for it is "partial 16S ribosomal RNA". It matches the Rfam family "Bacterial small subunit ribosomal RNA", at positions 524 to 776 of the family's 1533-position model. The record is from RNAcentral.
UACGUAGGGUGCGAGCGUUGCCCGGAUUUAUUGGGCGUAAAGGGCGCGUAGGCGGUCACGCACGUCCGUUGUGAAAUCGCUCGGCUCAACUGGGCGAGGUCAGCGGAUACGGUGUGACUGGAGCAAGGCUAGGGGGCAAUGGAAUUCCCGGUGUAGUGGUGGAAUGCGUAGAUAUCGGGAGGAACACCAGUGGCGAAGGCGGUUGCCUGGAGCUUUGCUGACGCUGAUGCGCGAAAGCGUGGGGAGCGAUCCGG